CAUGGCUGUCGUCAGCUCGUGUCGUGAGAUGUUCGGGUUAAGUCCCGCAACGAGCGCAACCCUUGUCAUUAGUUGCCAUCAUUAAGUUGGGCACUCUAAUGAGACUGCCGGUGCAAACCGGAGGAAGGUGGGGAUGACGUCAAGUCAGCAUGGCCUUUAUGUCCUGGGCUACACACACGCUACAAUGGCCAGUACAAUUGGUAGCUAAGCCGCGAGGUGGAGCCAAUCCGUAAAAGCUGGCCUCAGUUCAGAUUGUAGGCUGCAACCCGCCUGCAUGAAGAUGGAGUUGCUAGUAACCGCAGGUCAGCAAUACUGCGGUGAAUACGUUCCCGGGUCUU
This 338-nucleotide ribosomal RNA is filed under the name uncultured Allobrachymonas sp. RNAcentral describes it as "bacterial SSU rRNA". It matches the Rfam family "Bacterial small subunit ribosomal RNA", at positions 1044 to 1382 of the family's 1533-position model. The record is from RNAcentral. Lineage: Bacteria; Pseudomonadati; Pseudomonadota; Betaproteobacteria; Burkholderiales; Comamonadaceae.